This 1404-nucleotide long non-coding RNA is filed under the name Ficedula albicollis (Collared flycatcher). RNAcentral describes it as "lncRNA (ENSFALG00000026533.1)". The record is from RNAcentral. Lineage: Eukaryota; Metazoa; Chordata; Aves; Passeriformes; Muscicapidae.
GUCAGCGCCUCUUCCCACCCCUCAGCAGGAGCCCUGGGGCCCCCGGCUGCCAUCGUCACCCUGCCCCACCUGCAGCAGCAGGGGCCAGCUUACCUGUACGUGAGAUACUGGGGUGCUUUGGGGGUGGGCUGGGAUUUCCUGCAGCCUCUCCUUGGGUCUGAAUGCAGAUCCGUGCUGGGAUGGACUGGCUGCUCUGAGCAGGGGGUGGCAGAGACCUGGUGCCACAGCUGAGUGCAUCCUUCUGCCUCCCUGCAGAACCUGGGGAGAAACAGCUCUGCCUGUUUGUCAGCAAUGCAUUUUAAAUGUUUUUAAUUGCAAAGAAACUAAUUACUCCUUAAGUGCCUCUAGUUAUUUAUCCUGAAACCUUCAUAGCCACCGGUGUUUUGAGCAAUCCGGUUUUUGAAAACUUUCACAGAGUUAAAAUUUGCAGAUAACGCUCUAUGAUGAUUAUAUCAAGGAAAGGUUCACCACCCUGGCACUUUGGUAAAGCAUCUAAAAUUAUAACAGCAUCCCAACAUGCUGCUUGCGCAGCGCUGAGCCCCCCUGGUGCAGAGCCAGGCUGUGGGAAUGCUGUGCCCAGGAGUAGCACCCUCACCACACCAUCAUCCAGCCGAGACUCCAGCACGAAUCCAAAAGACAAGAGAGCUCCCCAGACAUUACAAUAAUUUGCAGAAGGGUGGUGUGAGGGCACCCCAGCAGCUGGGUGCUUUGCACAGAGGCAGAGCCAGGCCAGCGCUCACACAGUGCUCCUGAGCAGCCAGGGCACAGCUGGGAACAGCCCCUCACUCAGACCGGCCCCCGGCCAAACCUCCAGAAGCUUGUGCUGAAAAACAGGGAGAGAAACCUUUCUGAGAGUGCUGGGGCAGCCCCUGACCGGCCAGACCCCCCCAGCUGUUGUUUGUGUUUUGGAAAUAACACCCGAGAGCUGUGGCGUUGUGCUGGAACUCAUCGACUCCUGGAGCGGAUGGCACCGCCCUCGAGAGGAGCUGCCCGCCCGCUGCAGCCGGGCGCUGCGCGGCGCAGGGCUGACCCGCUGCUCUCCGCAGGUGCGUGGCGCUGCGCCCGUACGCGGCGCACGGCCCCGCCGAGCUGCAGCUGCGCAGGGGAGAGGGGCUACGUGUGCUCGGCACGGAGCAGGACGGCUGGCUGCGGGGCAUGUCCCUGCUCACCGGCAGGGUCGGGCUCUUCCCCAGCAGCUACGUCGCUCCCCUCUUCAGGAAAUCGAGCCUGUCCGACUCGAAGAUGCCCUCCCUGUACACGUCCUGGACGCUGUCCAGCGCUUCGCUCUCAUCGCAGGGCAGCGCGGCGGAGCCGGGCCGGCAGAGCCGAGCGCGGGGGGGGGGGGGGGGGGGGGGGGGGGGGGGGGGGGGGGGGGGGGGGGGGGGGGGGGGGGGGGGGGGGGGG